Molecule: small nucleolar RNA, 91 nt
Organism: Nicotiana attenuata
Lineage: Eukaryota; Viridiplantae; Streptophyta; Magnoliopsida; Solanales; Solanaceae
Rfam family: small nucleolar RNA snoR114
Source: Rfam
UAGCUGUGAUGAAUAUUUGUGCUCAAUGCGGUGAUUAGGGGUCUCCGCACUCUUCUGAAUUUGUAGGAAGAUGAGUUGCGCAUCUGAGCUU